Molecule: ribosomal RNA, 468 nt
Filed under: uncultured bacterium
Lineage: Bacteria
Description: partial 16S ribosomal RNA
Rfam family: Bacterial small subunit ribosomal RNA
Source: RNAcentral
GACGAACGCUGGCGGCGUGCUUAACACAUGCAAGUCGAACGGAAAGGCCCUGCUUUUGUGGGGUGCUCGAGUGGCGAACGGGUGAGUAACACGUGAGUAACCUGCCCUUGACUUUGGGAUAACUUCAGGAAACUGGGGCUAAUACCGGAUAGGAGCUCCUGCUGCAUGGUGGGGGUUGGAAAGUUUCGGCGGUUGGGGAUGGACUCGCGGCUUAUCGGCUUGUUGGUGGGGUAGUGGCUUACCAAGGCAUUGACGGGUAGCCGGCAUGGGAGGGUGACCGGCGACCUUGGGACUGAGAUACGGCCCAGACUCCUACAGGGGGCAGCAGUGGGGAAUAUUGCACAAUGGGCGGAAGCCUGAUGCAGCAACGCCGCGUGCGGGAUGACGGCCUUCGGGUUGUAAACCGCUUUCGCCUGUGACGAAGCGUGAGUGACGGUAAUGGAUAAAGAAGCACCGGCUAACUACGUG